GCCGCUGUAGCUCAGUUGGCAGAGCGCCCGCCUUGUAAGCGGAAGGUCAGGGGUUCGAGUCCCCUCAGCGGCU
Molecule: transfer RNA, 73 nt
Filed under: Actinopolyspora mzabensis
Lineage: Bacteria; Bacillati; Actinomycetota; Actinomycetes; Actinopolysporales; Actinopolysporaceae
Also listed under: 2 other names
Description: Actinopolyspora sp. H55 tRNA
Rfam family: tRNA
About the family: Transfer RNA (tRNA) molecules are approximately 80 nucleotides in length.
Source: Rfam by way of RNAcentral